GACGAACGCUGACGGCGUGCCUAAUACAUGCAAGUAAAACGCUGAAGGAGGAGCUUGCUUCUCCGGAUGAGUUGCGAACGGGUGAGUAACGCGUAGGUAACCUGCCUGGUAGCGGGGGAUAACUAUUGGAAACGAUAGCUACUACCGCAUAAUAGCAGUUGUUGCAUGACAACUGUUUAAAAGGUGCAACUGCAUCACUACCAGAUGGACCUGCGUUGUAUUAGCUAGUUGGUGGGGUAACGGCUCACCAAGGCGACGAUACAUAGCCGACCUGAGAGGGUGAUCGGCCACACUGGGACUGAGACACGGCCCAGACUCCUACGGGAGGCAGCAGUAGGGAAUCUUCGGCAAUGGACGGAAGUCUGACCGAGCAACGCCGCGUGAGUGAAGAAGGUUUUCGGAUCGUAAAGCUCUGUUGUAAGAGAAGAACGAGUGUGAGAGUGGAAAGUUCACACUGUGACGGUAUCUUACCAGAAAGGGACGGCUAACUACGUGC
RNAcentral lists this ribosomal RNA (496 nucleotides) under uncultured Streptococcus sp. RNAcentral describes it as "bacterial SSU rRNA". It matches the Rfam family "Bacterial small subunit ribosomal RNA", at positions 28 to 508 of the family's 1533-position model. The record is from RNAcentral. Lineage: Bacteria; Bacillati; Bacillota; Bacilli; Lactobacillales; Streptococcaceae.